AUGAACGCUGGCGGCGUGCUUAACACAUGCAAGUCGAACGAAGCAUUUAAGACAGAUUCCUUCGGUUUGAAGUCUUUUAUGACUGAGUGGCGGACGGGUGAGUAACGCGUGGGUAACCUGCCUCAUACAGGGGGAUAGCAGCUGGAAACGGCUGGUAAUACCGCAUAAGCGCACAGUACCACAUGGUACAGUGUGAAAAACUCCGGUGGUAUGAGAUGGACCCGCGUCUGAUUAGCUUGUUGGCGGGGUAACGGCCCACCAAGGCGACGAUCAGUAGCCGACCUGAGAGGGUGACCGGCCACAUUGGGACUGAGACACGGCCCAGACUCCUACGGGAAGCAGCAGUGGGGAAUAUUGCACAAUGGAGGAAACUCUGAUGCAGCGACGCCGCGUGAGUGAAGAAGUAGUUCGCUAUGUAAAGCUCUAUCAGCAGGGAAGAUAGUGACGGUACCUGACUAAGAAGCUCCGGCUAAAUACGUG
Molecule: ribosomal RNA, 480 nt
Filed under: uncultured bacterium
Lineage: Bacteria
Description: partial 16S ribosomal RNA
Rfam family: Bacterial small subunit ribosomal RNA
Source: RNAcentral